Long non-coding RNA from Haemorhous mexicanus (house finch), 971 nucleotides. RefSeq lists it as uncharacterized. NCBI's taxonomy places the organism in Eukaryota, Metazoa, Chordata, Aves, Passeriformes, Fringillidae. The transcript is spliced from 3 exons. The record is from RefSeq and is a predicted model, not a curated record.
GGGAGCAGAGGCACCUGGGCAAGGGCUGGAGCAGAGGCAGAGGAAGGUGCAGCUGCUGCUUCCCAGCCCGCGGCACUGGCGGGGCCCAGGCGCGGUGCAGAGGGUGUGGGAGGCCAAGAAGCUCGGGAGGAGCGAGAGAGGCGGCAGCGGCUGAAGGGGUGCUGUGUUUCUCAGGGGACACAUUCCCACACCCACCAUCAACAGGGAAGCCCCAAUGAAAAGGUGCCAUUGGAAAGUUCUUCCUCAGGGACUGAAGAUCUCACCAUUGAUCUGCCAGUGCCUGAAUCCGCCCAUCCUACGCCGCUUUGGGGGGAGCAGUCGGAUGUCAGUGAAAGAAAAGCCUCCAGUCUUAGUAAAGGACCCUGAGACUUGGAAGACAGUGGGACCUUACAAAUUGGUUACAUGGGGACGUGGAUAUGCCUGUGUGUCCACCCCCUCAGGUUUAAAGUAGGUUCUUUCCAAAUGGGUAAGGCCCCACGUCCCCAAGGUCUCAGGGAAGUCUACAGCGCCCCAGGUUGCUAAUGCUGCCUGGAGAAGGAAACGCCGCACGCGUUCUCUGGAGGAAAUUCCAUUUAAGCCUCCUAUCUGGAAUAGUUUGUAAUAUAUUUCUGUCUUAAGUUCCCUGUAUCAGUUUAGAUCCUGCUGUUCGUGGGCAGUCUCGAGACACCAUGAGACCGAUUCUGCUCCUUGCCCUACUCAUGAUCAUUCCACCAGCGAUCUCCUGGAGAGUCCCUCAGCCCAAAGCAAACACACAGACUAUCUGCUCCUUCUGCACAACCAUCGCUGUGAAGAAUCUGAAGGUCUCUGCUGCCUCAACUUGUCAUCAAAGGCAGAGAACGUCCAAGAGAAACGGACAACUGGCUGAGUGGACUGUUCAAAGGCUGGGGACUCUCGGGCUGGUUGGGAUCUAUUCUGAAAACUGUUUUUAGUACUGUUCAUUUUAGUUAUUGUUAUUGUAGUUGUUAGCAUUG